AACAGAGAGAAAAGAAAACCAAAAACCAUUUCUUGGCUGGUUUGAAGAAAUUCUAAGGAGAUCCAAGUGAAAGCAAAGCCAAAGAAGUAGAUUAAGCUUAGUUCUAGCCUUUUUAUGGUAAGUUCUUGUACUUGGAAGUUAAACUAUGUUUUUGAAUUUUUCUGAAAGCUUAUAUAUGGUGUUUUAUCCUUUUUAAGAUAUUUCUUGGGGUUUCCAAGUGGUUUGAGGUUUAGAAAAGCUUGAAGAGAUUGUUUUCGCCGAAAAGUUGCUCGGAUAAGCAUAUCAACACCUAAGACAUCACUUGUUACACGGUGAAAUAUAUUGUGGACAAAAGGUAGAGAAAGAAAUAUGUGAAUGAUAUGAGGAGAACUGAAGCAUGGUCCUGACCCUGAUUUGUACAUAUGAACACAUCGACCUUUUUGUGGGUUAUUUCAGUUAUCAGUGAGAUGUUUGUAAUAAAGUGUGAAGUUAUGUUUUGAAAAUAAAUUGGGUUAUUUAAUACUUAUGUAUAAUAUGUUUGAGACACACUUUAUGUUUAAUGUAAAUAAUGUGAAAUAAGUUUUCAAGUUAAAAAAAAAAAAAAAAA
Humulus lupulus (European hop) is the source of this 586-nucleotide long non-coding RNA. RefSeq lists it as uncharacterized. The record is from RefSeq and is a predicted model, not a curated record. The transcript is spliced from 3 exons. NCBI's taxonomy places the organism in Eukaryota, Viridiplantae, Streptophyta, Magnoliopsida, Rosales, Cannabaceae.